AUUGAACGCUGGCGGCAUGCUUUACACAUGCAAGUCGAACGGUAACAGCACUUCGGUGGCUGACGAGUGGCGAACGGGUGUGUAAUACAUCGGAACGUGCCUCGUAGUGGGGGAUAACUACUCGAAAGAGUAGCUAAUACCGCAUGAGAUCUAAGGAUGAAAGCAGGGGACCUUCGGGCCUUGCGCUACUAGAGCGGCUGAUGGCGGAUUAGCUAGUUGGUGGGAUAAAAGCUUACCAAGCCGACGAUCUGUAGCUGGUCUGAGAGGAUGACCAGCCACACUGGAACUGAGACACGGUCCAGACUCCUACGGGAGGCAGCAGUGGGGAAUUUUGGACAAUGGGCGCAAGCCUGAUCCAGCAAUGCCGCGUGCAGGAUGAAGGUCUUCGGGUUGUAAACUGCUUUUGUACGGAACGAAAAGCACUCUGCUAAUACAGGGGGGUCAUGACGGUACCGAAAGAAUAAGCACCGGCUAACUACGUG
Molecule: ribosomal RNA, 482 nt
Filed under: uncultured bacterium
Lineage: Bacteria
Description: partial 16S ribosomal RNA
Rfam family: Bacterial small subunit ribosomal RNA
Source: RNAcentral